AGAGAGGGAGCUUGCUUCCUCAAUCGAGUGGCGAACGGGUGAGUAACGCGUGAGGAACCUGCCUCAAAGAGGGGGACAACAGUUAGAAAUAGCUGCUAAUACCGCAUAAGCGCACGGUUCCGCAUGGAACAGUGUGAAAAACUCCGGUGGUGUGAGAUGGACCCGCGUCUGAUUAGCCAGUUGGCGGGGUAACGGCCCACCAAAGCGACGAUCAGUAGCCGGCCUGAGAGGGUGAACGGCCACAUUGGGACUGAGACACGGCCCAGACUCC
Molecule: ribosomal RNA, 271 nt
Filed under: uncultured Eubacteriales bacterium
Lineage: Bacteria; Bacillati; Bacillota; Clostridia; Eubacteriales
Description: uncultured Clostridiales bacterium partial 16S ribosomal RNA
Rfam family: Bacterial small subunit ribosomal RNA
Source: RNAcentral